AAAAUUAAUAAUAAUAAUGAUUCAACCACAAAUUGAAACAGAGAGAAAAUUAUGAACAAAAAAUUCAAUGAGCAGCUUUUGAAAAUUCAAUUACAUUUUUCGCAUCUACAAGUUUAAUCAAGUAGGACUAACCAUAAUUUUUUUUUUCUGAAACAAGUGGGAGUAACCAUAAUUAAAAAAAUAUUGAUGUCAUAAAAGUAAAACUGAACAAGGAUUUGAAUCUGAUUGAUCCAGAAAUUAAGUUUGUCUAACUAAAAGAAUUGAGUUUAAAAAUCUUCUAAUUAAAACAAAUUAAACGCAAUCGCUCAAUUUCCUGAAAUUGAAUCGAAUCGAUCAAUAUUUUUCAAGAUCUUUAAAAUAAAAGUUUCCUAUCAGAGAAGAAGAACAAGAAAGAAGAUGAAACCAAAAAUAUCAAAAUCAAAAUUAC
This 427-nucleotide unclassified non-coding RNA is filed under the name Hevea brasiliensis (rubber tree). The record is from RNAcentral. Lineage: Eukaryota; Viridiplantae; Streptophyta; Magnoliopsida; Malpighiales; Euphorbiaceae.